ACGGGUGAGUAACACGUGAGUAACCUGCCUUAGACAUUGGGAUAGCCUCGGGAAACCGGGAUUAAUACCAAAUAAAAUCAUAAUGGCACAUGUCAUAACGAUCAAAACUCCGGUGGUCUAAGAUGGACUCGCGUCCCAUUAGCUAGUUGUAGAGUAAAAGCCUACCAAGGCGACGAUGGGUAGCCGGCCUGAGAGGGUGAACGGCCACAUUGGAACUGAGAAACGGUCCAA
This 231-nucleotide ribosomal RNA is filed under the name uncultured Eubacteriales bacterium. Its description in RNAcentral is "uncultured Clostridiales bacterium partial 16S ribosomal RNA". It matches the Rfam family "Bacterial small subunit ribosomal RNA", at positions 102 to 334 of the family's 1533-position model. Lineage: Bacteria; Bacillati; Bacillota; Clostridia; Eubacteriales. The record is from RNAcentral.